Molecule: long non-coding RNA, 601 nt
Filed under: Anser brachyrhynchus (Pink-footed goose)
Lineage: Eukaryota; Metazoa; Chordata; Aves; Anseriformes; Anatidae
Description: lncRNA (ENSABRG00000005165.1)
Source: RNAcentral
CAGAUUGUUUUCUGUAACCUGAAAACUGUGUUCACUCAAAAUAGAUCUCUUAUAAUCACAGGUUAGGAGAGCAUUAUUAAACGCAAAACUCAGCCCUCUGGGAGCUGGUGGAACUCACCCUCUAGAGAUUUUUUUCCUGCAGAAAAGGUUUCGUUACGGACACCCUGGAAUACUGUUUGGAAAGACAACAAGGCUGGUGGGGAAGAUAAAGGAUCCUGCUGUUCAGUGGGUGUAUGCGAUGGAAAGUUGCUACCUCCCCUCCCUGUGCCUGCUGCUUUUCCCAUCCGACGUGUGACUUGCCUGUCCCAUGCCUUUGAAGCAUCUAGCAGCCAGAGUUUGCUUGUCUGCACAGGAUGGAUGCUUGCAAUGCAAUUACAUUCUUGGUAUUAAGAAGGUGAAAAGACUGAUGAGGAUUGCUGUUAUCCUGCAGAAGCUCUCCUACCAGUACCUCUCACACAGGUUUCCUGCACCAGUCACCUUCUGCACCUUAGCAUGGGUUCAAAGCUCACAUCUCAGCAGGGUUGGUCCACAUUACAGAAGCACAGGAGAGAUUUUUCCAGCACCAUUUCUGCAAAGACUUGUGCUGGUAUGGUUAGAGUGA